This 64-nucleotide transfer RNA is filed under the name Neotoma lepida (desert woodrat). It matches the Rfam family "tRNA", at positions 5 to 66 of the family's 71-position model. From Rfam's summary of the family: Transfer RNA (tRNA) molecules are approximately 80 nucleotides in length. Their secondary structure includes four short double-helical elements and three loops (D, anti-codon, and T loops). The record is from Rfam by way of RNAcentral. Lineage: Eukaryota; Metazoa; Chordata; Mammalia; Rodentia; Cricetidae.
AUGUAGCUCAGUUGGUAGAGUGUUUGCCUAGCAUGUAUGAAGUCUUGGGUUCAAUCCCCAACAU